CCUACGGGGUGCAGCAGUGAGGAAUAUUGGUCAAUGGGCGCGAGCAUGAACCAGCCAAGUAGCGUGAAGGAUGACUGCCCUACGGGUUGUAAACUUCUUUUAUAAAGGAAUAAAGUGAGGCACGUGUGCCUUUUUGUAUGCACUUUAUGAAUAAGGAUGGGCUAACUCCGUGCCAGCGGCCGCGGUAAUACGGAGGAUCGGAGCGUUAUCCGGGUUUAUUGGGUUUAAAGGGAGCGUAGAUGGGUUGUUAAGUCAGUUGGGAAAGUUUGCGGCUCAACCGUAAAAUUGCAAUUGAUACUGGCAGCCUUGAGUACAGUUGAGGUAGGCGGAAUUCGUGGUGUAGCGGUGAAAUGCUUAGAUAUCACGAAGAACUCCGAUUGCGAAGGCAGCUUACUAAACUGCCACUGACAUUGAUGCUCGAAAGUGUGGGUAUCAAACAGGAUUAGAUACCCUUGUAGUC
This 460-nucleotide ribosomal RNA is filed under the name uncultured bacterium. RNAcentral's name for it is "partial 16S ribosomal RNA". It matches the Rfam family "Bacterial small subunit ribosomal RNA", at positions 338 to 795 of the family's 1533-position model. The record is from RNAcentral.